This 1179-nucleotide long non-coding RNA is filed under the name Mytilus galloprovincialis (Mediterranean mussel). The record is from RNAcentral. Lineage: Eukaryota; Metazoa; Mollusca; Bivalvia; Mytilida; Mytilidae.
AGGAUUUAAAAGGUUGUGUUGAUCAGGAGUUUCCAAUUGGAAGUGAAUUAACAAAACUAGAACAACAAGGUGAAGCACAUGCAGCUUUUGCAUCACAGAGAUGUCGAGUUUACAUUGGAAAUCAGAAUUAUUUUACAGAAAUCAACAAACACAGAAGUCAGAAUAUCUCACAACCAUUCAUUAUACUUGGAGAAUCAGGUAACUUGUGUAUUUCUAAAAAAUACAAAUAAUUCGUAUUUAAUAUAAAUAUAAAAUUAUGUGAUUGUUGUAUGAGUAUAAUAGUAGUCAGGACAAUAUGUAGGCUGCUAUCAGGCCGCGAACAAGUUAAUAGUAAAUCCAGAAAAGCGUUUCGGACGCAAGAAAUUAUUUAACGUGUUAUUUUCAAUUUUUAAUAAGAUAAUAAUAUGAACUCUGCGUUGCCUGGUUUGUAAUGUGCUAAUACAUUAGUGUUAAAAACAACGUAUUACCCGAUUGGCAAGAGGCGGGUCAAGCACACUACCUAGAGACAACCGAUUCAUUAUAUGGAACUGAGGACAGGGGACCCUUUAAUAUUUACCUGAAUUUGUAUAUAUAUAUUGAGUUACUUAGUUAUUGUCUUUAUUUGUUUUUGUUGUUGUUAUAUGUCACAAACUGUAAAGUUUAUAUGGCAAUAAAACUUUGAAUUGAAUUGAAUUGAAUAUAAAGAUGUGAUUAUUUGAAUAUAAGUGAAGUUUAAUUUGUGAAACCAUUAUAUUUUGUGUUGAUACUUUUUCUCUGGUCAUCAAUACAUUAAACGAAAUAGAAAUAUUAUGCAACGACUUUCAAAUUGCGGGCAACAGCAAAUAUAACAACAAGCAUAAUACUGGCAAAACGUAUUUAUAAGAAAAGACGCUUAUACUGUCGUAUGCAUUAUUUCAAAAUCAUAGCACCUUGUCUAGACUGUUGGAUGCUAUAUGUAAAAAUAAGAAGAUGUGGUAUGAUGAGACAACUCUUCACAAGAUACCAAAGGACAUAGAAAUAAACAAAUAAAAACUAAUAUAUGUUGCUACUUUUUGGUAAUAUUUUGAUAGGUUGUGGUAAGUCAGCGCUUGUUGCUAACUGGGCGAAACAGAUUGAGGAUUCUGAGAAAGACACAUUUAUUUUUCUUCACUUUAUUGGAAGUUCAGCUGAUAGUGCCCACUAUAUAAAAAUGAUCAGAAG